AUGCUCCUGCUGCUCGUCCCAGUGCUCGAGGUGAUUUUUACCCUGGGAGGAACCAGAGCCCAGUCGGUGACCCAGCUUGACAGCCACGUCUCUGUCUCUGAAGGAACCCCGGUGCUGCUGAGGUGCAACUACUCAUCUUCUUAUUCACCGUCUCUCUUCUGGUAUGUGCAACACCCCAACAAAGGACUCCAGCUUCUCCUGAAGUACACAUCAGCGGCCACCCUGGUUAAAGGCAUCAACGGUUUUGAGGCUGAAUUUAAGAAGAGUGAAACCUCCUUCCACCUGACGAAACCCUCAGCCCAUAUGAGCGACGCGGCUGAGUACUUCUGUGUUGUGAGUGA
This is a non-coding RNA of Homo sapiens (human), 341 nucleotides long. NCBI's taxonomy places the organism in Eukaryota, Metazoa, Chordata, Mammalia, Primates, Hominidae. The record is from the annotation of a RefSeq genome assembly.